AUGAGUGAGUUCAGCUUUCAGAAUGAAAACCAACCUGUUUGUUCCUCAGUAUCUUCAUGUUUGACUCUGAAUGUUUCUUCACUCUUUAUGUCUUCACUCUCAAACACCAUCUUUGUUUGUUUCUCAGUAUCUUCAUGUUUGACUCUGAAUGUUUCUUCAAUCUUAAUGUCUUCACUCUCAUCUUUAAUAAACUCCAUUUUUAUAAUAGUGUCACAUCGAUCUCAGUUGCUUCACAGAGUUUUUCUGUGUAUUUGGACACCUUUUCCUGUUUAAGAAAAGAGAAUAAUUAACAGAAAGAAAAAUAAAUCCAAACUAAAAUUAUAGUUGCGUCUCAACUAGCGCCCUAGUUCUGUAGUCAGCACACUGGUAAGGGAGUCACUAAGAGUGAGAGUUAAUGGCCUUAAUUUACCUGAAGAAACACAAGUUAAAGGGACACAAGUUAUAUGGAAGGUUCAUAUUUGUAUUAAGCUUCAUAUUUGGUAUUUACUAAUUUGUAGGUAAUAUUUAAUAAAUUCCACUUUCACGAAAACGUUUGCAGUUGAUUUGUAAAUGUCAUUAUUUCAUUUACACUGAUUUGAGCAGCAGGUCACGUCAGCGUGCGGUGAUUCAAACGAUUCAAAACAGUGAAUCAUUUCAGUUGUCUCAGAGAUCCGAAAAGCUCCAUUUCAUGAUAUCUUUAUUUCAGACUCAAAAAGGUCUAUAUAUAUAUAUAUAUAUAUAUAUAUAUAUAUAUAUAUAUAUAUAUAUAUAUAUAUAUAUAUAAAAAAGAACAGCAUACAACAUGAAUAACAACAACAAACAACAAGAAAAUAAUCUAAUGUCCAUCUAAGCACUUUCUCCAGUGCCUCCCAAGUGCAGAGGUGUACCUAACAGUGCUCUUCUCUAAGAUCACGGUUUCAUUUUUAGAGGCCUCAAGUCACUUUAUAAAUUUAUACACAAAAUUUCUGAUAACAGCAUAUAACAUGUGCACCUGAUUCUGAACAAAAAGCUGACUGGCACUUGUCCACCGAGGGACUUUUAUUAAGAGUCGCAAUGCAUCAUUGUAAGCAACCUGCAACUGGUUAAAUUUAGCUUUAUUGUAACUGCACCACAAGUGGGCAGUAUACAGUGGCGUGCAAUAGGCUUUAAACAAAGCUAUUUUGACAUCAUCAGUACACAUGCUAAAUUUAUGAACAAGCAUGUUAGCUUGUGCAUACAGUUUACAAUACUGUCUCUGAAUGUCAUCAUCGUCACAAAGGUAACUUCUAAUGAUGUGACCAAGAUAUUUGACCUUAUUCACCACAGAUAACUCCUGUCCAGCCAAAUAUAACAACACUCUUUUUUGUGGUAAACUUUAAAUCAUAUUGCUCACCAUAGUCAAAGCAGACUCUAAGCAACUGUUGCAGCCCAGCAGAGUAAGGUGACAUUACAACUAGGUCGUCUGCAUACAGUAGAUGGUCCAGAAGUCUUUCUCCCACCAUGCAGUCAGUCUUAAAGUUUUUAAUUCUUUGAAUAAGAUCGUCCAUAUAAAGGUUGAAGAGCAUGGGUGACAAUAUUCCACCGCCUAACCCCAUUUGUCACAAAAAAAAGGCUUUGAUGUUGUCGUUCCCCAUCGAACUUGCAUUGUUUGGUGAGUGUACCAAAAAUGCAGAACCUGGACUAGGUAUGGGGGAACUCCUCGCUGCUGUAAUUUUACAAAUAGCUUUCCAUGAUUAAUGCGGUCAAAGGCUUUGGAGGCAUCUAAAGCCCCUUUCACACUGAGAUUCCGGAUAAUACAUAGGUAAUGUGUCCCGGCAAUUGUUCCCGGAUCGUUAGAUUUUGAUUCAUUCACACUGCCAGUGAUUUCCCGGAAUCGCUAUAGAUGACCUUCCUUCUGAUUCGCGAUUAUAAAAAAAGUGAAAGUGAACUGCAUGGGAUCGAAUCAAAUUCGACCACGUCGUCCUGUGACCACGAAAAAUAACCCCUCGAUAAAGUAUCGAAUAAAUACAUCGAGGUUAAGAACACACUAAACAGCGAUGUUUUAAUGCAACAUGUCCGAGGAAGUAACGUUCAGCAACUUCCUUCACAAACUCCCAAGAAACAUGUCGACCAAGUAAAAUGGACGUGUUAAACAAUUUACUACCCUACCAAUACAAUUUUCGUGUGUAAAUAAAGCAGAUUGAACUCAUUUUCUAGUAGUUUUAAUCAACUUGGUGGGGGGCAAAUAUGUUUCUAAGACGUUUAAUGCACGCAUGACGCGAAAUUUCAUCACUAAUAACAUCGAAAUGCUUGAAACAUGCUUAAAUUCUCACUUGUUUUUCACUUAGAGAUGUUAUUCUGCUUUGCGUUCACACACAACCCGUAAAAGUCCCGUAAUGACACGUGACAUCAGGGUGUGAUGUGUAAUGCACGAGUCGAAAACACUAGGCACGUUAACUUUCUCUUAAGCUGGCGAGGAGCUAACUGAUCUCUGCUUCAUUACAUUUUGCACAUAUUUUUUCAUUGCGAACAUUGAUCUGCCAAAAUACCUGGUAAAAGAGUCA
Cyprinus carpio carpio is the source of this 2501-nucleotide long non-coding RNA. The record is from Ensembl. Lineage: Eukaryota; Metazoa; Chordata; Actinopteri; Cypriniformes; Cyprinidae.